This 67-nucleotide transfer RNA is filed under the name Endochironomus pekanus. RNAcentral describes it as "tRNA-Leu". Lineage: Eukaryota; Metazoa; Arthropoda; Insecta; Diptera; Chironomidae. The record is from RNAcentral.
ACUAUUUUGACAGAUAAGUGUAUUAAAUUUAGAAUUUAAAAAUAUAGAGUAUUUUCUAUAAAUAGUA